This 201-nucleotide non-coding RNA is filed under the name Bacteroidota bacterium. Lineage: Bacteria; Pseudomonadati; Bacteroidota. The record is from RNAcentral.
CUACUUUUGUCGCGUCUUGGUGACCAACUUCCUUGUUCGGGAAGCGUCUGAAAAGGGAAUCCGGUGCAAUACCGGAGCUGUACCCGCAGCUGUAAGCCUUUAUAAACUUUUUGAUUUGCAUGCCACUGUCCAGAGCGCUCUGGGUGGGAAGGCUUCAAAAAGAAGGUGAGCCAGAAGACCUGCCAAUUCAAAAUCAUUUAA